Molecule: ribosomal RNA, 1362 nt
Filed under: uncultured delta proteobacterium
Lineage: Bacteria; Deltaproteobacteria
Description: 16S ribosomal RNA
Rfam family: Bacterial small subunit ribosomal RNA
Source: RNAcentral
ACGAACGCUGGCGGCAUGCCUAACACAUGCAAGUCGAACGAGAAAGUUCCUUCGGGAGCGAUUAAAGUGGCGCACGGGUGAGUAACGCGUAGACAAUCUGCCCUUCAGUCUGGGACAACUUUUCGAAAGGAGAGCUAAUACCGGAUAACAAUGCAUUACAUAAGUAGCGUAUUUGAAAGCUUUAUGUGCUGAAGGAGGGGUCUGCGUCCCAUUAGCUAGUUGGUAAGGUAAAGGCUUACCAAGGCAACGAUGGGUAGCGGGUUUGAGAGGACGAUCCGCCACACUGGAACUGAGACACGGUCCAGACUCCUACGGGAGGCAGCAGUGGGGAAUAUUGCACAAUGGAGGAAACUCUGAUGCAGCAAUGUCGCGUGAGUGAAGAAGGCCCUUGGGUCGUAAAGCUCUUUUAUGGGGGAAGAUGAUGACGGUACCCCAAGAAUAAGCACCGGCUAACUACGUGCCAGCAGCCGCGGUAAUACGUAGGGUGCGAGCGUUGUUCGGAAUUACUGGGCGUAAAGGGCGCGCAGGCGGAAUAGCAAGUCGGAGGUGAAAGCCCGGGGCUCAACCCCGGAGGGUCUUUCGAAACUGCUAAUCUAGAGAGGGUCAGGGGCCAGCAGAAUUCUUGGUGUAGAGGUGAAAUUCGUAGAUAUCAAGAGGAAUACCGGUGGCGAAAGCGGCUGGCUGGGGCCACUCUGACGCUGAGGCGCGAAAGCGUGGGGAGCAAACAGGAUUAGAUACCCUGGUAGUCCACGCCGUAAACGAUGAGCACUGGAUGUCCGGAGGGUUCGACCCUUCUGGGUAUCUCAGCUAACGCAUUAAGUGCUCCGCCUGGGGAGUACGGUCGCAAGACUAAAACUCAAAGGAAUUGACGGGGGCCCGCACAAGCGGUGGAACAUGUGGUUUAAUUCGAAGCAACGCGAAGAACCUUACCUAGCUUUGACAUGUCAGUGAAAAUUCGGUGAAAGCCGAACCCUCCAAGAGCUUGCUCGAGGACACUGUCACAGGUGGUGCAUGGCCGUCGUCAGCUCGUGUCGUGAGAUGUUGGGUUAAGUCCCGCAACGAGCGCAACCCCUAUCGAUAUUUGCCAUCAGGUUAAGCUGGGCACUUUAGGGGGACUGCCGGUGACAAGCCGGAGGAAGGUGGGGAUGACGUCAAGUCCUCAUGGCCUUUAUGACCAGGGCUACACACGUGUUACAAUGGGAGAUACAGAGGGAAGCUAAACCGCGAGGUCAUGCCAAUCCCAGAAAAUCUUUCUCAGUUCGGAUCGCAGUCUGCAACUCGACUGCGUGAAGCUGGAAUCGCUAGUAAUCGCGGAUCAGCACGCCGCGGUGAAUACGUUCCCGGGCCUUGUACACACCGCCC